GUCUUGACGGUACCUAAUCAGAAAGCCACGGCUAACUACGUGCCAGCAGCCGCGGUAAUACGUAGGUGGCAAGCGUUAUCCGGAAUUAUUGGGCGUAAAGCGCGCGUAGGCGGUGUUUUAAGUCUGAUGUGAAAGCCCACGGCUCAACCGUGGAGGGUCAUUGGAAACUGGAAAACUUGAGUGCAGAAGAGGAAAGUGGAAUUCCAUGUGUAGCGGUGAAAUGCGCAGAGAUAUGGAGGAAC
Molecule: ribosomal RNA, 242 nt
Filed under: Staphylococcus capitis
Lineage: Bacteria; Bacillati; Bacillota; Bacilli; Caryophanales; Staphylococcaceae
Description: partial 16S ribosomal RNA
Rfam family: Bacterial small subunit ribosomal RNA
Source: RNAcentral